AUUCCCGUCGACUAAUGGUUAGGUCAUAACUCUUUCAAGGUUACAGUGCCGGUUCGAAUCCCGUCAUCAAUACAA
RNAcentral lists this transfer RNA (75 nucleotides) under Hydrotalea sp. AMD. RNAcentral describes it as "tRNA-Glu". It matches the Rfam family "tRNA". Rfam says of the family: Transfer RNA (tRNA) molecules are approximately 80 nucleotides in length. Their secondary structure includes four short double-helical elements and three loops (D, anti-codon, and T loops). Lineage: Bacteria; Pseudomonadati; Bacteroidota; Chitinophagia; Chitinophagales; Chitinophagaceae. The record is from RNAcentral.